This 424-nucleotide ribosomal RNA is filed under the name uncultured bacterium. RNAcentral's name for it is "bacterial SSU rRNA". It matches the Rfam family "Bacterial small subunit ribosomal RNA", at positions 358 to 773 of the family's 1533-position model. The record is from RNAcentral.
GGAAUAUUGCGCAAUGGCCGAAAGGCUGACGCAGCGACGCCGCGUGUGGGAUGACGCCCUUCGGGGUGUAAACCACUGUCAGAAGGGAAGAAACUCGAGCUUUCAAACAGGGAGCGCGAUUGACGGUACCUUCAGAGGAAGCACCGGCUAACUCCGUUCCAGCAGCCGCGGUAAGACGGAGGGUGCAAGCGUUGUUCGGAAUUACUGGGCGUAAAGCGCGCGCAGGCGGUUUUCUAAGUCCUUUGUGAAAUCCCGGGGCUCAACUCCGGUUGUGCAGAGGAUACUGGAAGACUAGAGACCAGUAGAGGCUAGCGGAAUUCCUGGUGUAGCGGUGGAAUGCGUAGAUAUCAGGAGGAACAUCAGUGGCGAAGGCGGCUAGCUGGGCUGGGUCUGACGCUCAUGUGCGAAAGCGUGGGGAGCAAAC